Molecule: ribosomal RNA, 458 nt
Filed under: uncultured bacterium
Lineage: Bacteria
Description: bacterial SSU rRNA
Rfam family: Bacterial small subunit ribosomal RNA
Source: RNAcentral
UACGGGAGGCAGCAGUGGGGAAUAUUGCACAAUGGGCGCAAGCCUGAUGCAGCCAUGCCGCGUGUAUGAAAAAGGCCUUCGGGUUGUAAAGUACUUUCAGUCGUGAGGAAGGUGUUAAGGUUAAUAACCUUAGCAAUUGACGUUAGCGACAGAAGAAGCACCGGCUAACUCCGUGCCAGCAGCCGCGGUAAUACGGAGAGGGCUAGCGUUAUUCGGAAUUAUUGGGCGUAAAGAGCGCGUAGGCUGAUUAGUAAGUUAAAAGUGAAAUCCCAAAGCUUAACUUUGGAAUUGCUUUUUAAAACUGCUAGUCUAGAGAUUGAAAGAGGAUAGAGGAAUUCCUAGUGUAGAGGUGAAAUUCGUAAAUAUUAGGAGGAACACCAGUGGCGAAAGGCGUCUAUCUGGUUCAAAUCUGACGCUGAGGCGCGAAGGGCGUGGGGAGCAAACAGGGAUUAGAUACC